AAUCAACGCAGGCGGCGUGCCUAACACGUGCAAGUCGAACGAGAAAGCGGAGCAAUCCAUGAGUACAGUGGCGACCGGGUGAGUAACACGUGACUACCCGCCCUUGAGUGGGGGAUAACUUCGGGAAACCGAGGCUAAUACCGCAUAACAUCGCAAGAUCAAGGGAGCAAUCCGCUGAAGGAGGGGUCGCGCCUGAUGAG
Molecule: ribosomal RNA, 200 nt
Filed under: uncultured bacterium
Lineage: Bacteria
Description: partial 16S ribosomal RNA
Rfam family: Bacterial small subunit ribosomal RNA
Source: RNAcentral